CAGUCGCCACGGUAAUACGAAGGGGGCUAGCGUUGCUCGGAAUUACUGGGCGUAAAGCGCACGUAGGCGGAUACUUAAGUUAGGGGUGAAAUCCCAGGGCUCAACCCUGGAACUGCCUUUAAUACUGGGUAUCUUGAGUAUGGAAGAGGUGAGUGGAAUUCCGAGUGUAGAGGUGAAAUUCGUAGAUAUUCGGAGGAACACCAGUGGCGAAGGCGGCUCACUGGUCCAUUACUGACGCUGAGGUGCGAAAGCGUGGGGAGCAAACAGGAUUAGAUACCCCAGUAGUCCCUGUCUCUUAUAC
Molecule: ribosomal RNA, 301 nt
Filed under: uncultured bacterium
Lineage: Bacteria
Description: partial 16S ribosomal RNA
Rfam family: Bacterial small subunit ribosomal RNA
Source: RNAcentral